This 29-nucleotide non-coding RNA is filed under the name Rattus norvegicus (Norway rat). The record is from RNAcentral. Lineage: Eukaryota; Metazoa; Chordata; Mammalia; Rodentia; Muridae.
UGGAUCAGUUGCUACUAUGUGGACCUUUC